UAGGGAAUCUUCCACAAUGGACGAAAGUCUGAUGGAGCAACGCCGCGUGAGUGAUGAAGGGUUUCGGCUCGUAAAACUCUGUUGUUGGAGAAGAACAGGUGAUAGAGUAACUGUUAUCAUCUUGACGGUAUCCAACCAGAAAGCCACGGCUAACUACGUGCCAGCAGCCGCGGUAAUACGUAGGUGGCAAGCGUUGUCCGGAUUUAUUGGGCGUAAAGCGAGCGCAGGCGGUUUUUUAGGUCUGAUGUGAAAGCCUUCGGCUUAACCGGAGAAGGGCAUCGGAAACCGGGAGACUUGAGUGCAGAAGAGGACAGUGGAACUCCAUGUGUAGCGGUGAAAAUGCGUAGAUAUAUGGAAGAAUACCAGUGGCGAAGGCGGCUCUCUGGUCUGCAACUGACGCUGAGGCUCGAAAGCAUGGGUAGCGAACAGGAUUAGAUACCCUGGUAGUCCAUGCCGUAAAACGAUGAGUGCUAAGUGUUG
Molecule: ribosomal RNA, 480 nt
Filed under: uncultured bacterium
Lineage: Bacteria
Description: partial 16S ribosomal RNA
Rfam family: Bacterial small subunit ribosomal RNA
Source: RNAcentral